This 451-nucleotide ribosomal RNA is filed under the name uncultured Allobrachymonas sp. Its description in RNAcentral is "bacterial SSU rRNA". It matches the Rfam family "Bacterial small subunit ribosomal RNA", at positions 924 to 1382 of the family's 1533-position model. The record is from RNAcentral. Lineage: Bacteria; Pseudomonadati; Pseudomonadota; Betaproteobacteria; Burkholderiales; Comamonadaceae.
CACAAGCGGUGGAGCAUGUGGUUUAAUUCGAAGCAACGCGAAGAACCUUACCAGGUCUUGACAUCCCGAUGCUAUUUCUAGAGAUAGAAAGUUACUCGGUACAUCGGUGACAGGUGGUGCAUGGUUGUCGUCAGCUCGUGUCGUGAGAUGUUGGGUUAAGUCCCGCAACGAGCGCAACCCUUGCCAUUAGUUGCUACGAAAGGGCACUCUAAUGGGACUGCCGGUGACAAACCGGAGGAAGGUGGGGAUGACGUCAAGUCCUCAUGGCCCUUAUAGGUGGGGCUACACACGUCAUACAAUGGCCGGUACAGAGGGUAGCCAACCCGCGAGGGGGAGCCAAUCCCACAAAGCCGGUCGUAGUCCGGAUCGCAGUCUGCAACUCGACUGCGUGAAGUCGGAAUCGCUAGUAAUCGCGGAUCAGCAUGUCGCGGUGAAUACGUUCCCGGGUCUU